This 536-nucleotide ribosomal RNA is filed under the name Kyklioacalles punctaticollis meteoricus. RNAcentral describes it as "partial 16S ribosomal RNA". It matches the Rfam family "Bacterial large subunit ribosomal RNA", at positions 1819 to 2625 of the family's 2925-position model. The record is from RNAcentral. Lineage: Eukaryota; Metazoa; Arthropoda; Insecta; Coleoptera; Curculionidae.
GGCCUUUUGAUUAUGAUUUAAGGUCUAGCCUGCCCAAUGAUGUAACAAUUUAAUGGCCGCAGUAUUCUGACUGUGCAAAGGUAGCAUAAUCAUUAGUUUUUUAAUUGAAAGCUUGUAUGAAAGGUUUGAUGAGAAAAGAACUGUCUCUAUUUAAAAUUUUAGAAAUUUAUUUUUAAGUUAAAAAGCUUAAAUUUUCAUUGAAGACGAGAAGACCCUAUAGAGUUUUAUUUAUAUAAAAAUAAUGAGAAUUUAGUAUUUAAAAUUUUAUUUUUUAUAUGAAUUUGAUUGGGGUGAUUGAAAAAUUUAUGAAACUUUUUUUGUAUUUUUACAUUUAUUUAUGAAUAUUUGAUCCUUUAUUAGAUUAUAAGAUGAAAUUACCUUAGGGAUAACAGCGUAAUUUUUCUUAGAGUUCUUAUUGAAAGAAAAGAUUGCGACCUCGAUGUUGGAUUAAAAUUUAAUUUUUGGUGUAGAGGCUAAUAAAUUAGGUCUGUUCGACCUUUAAAUUUUUACAUGAUCUGAGUUUAAACCGGUGUAAG